GACGAACGCUGGCGGCGUGCUUAACACAUGCAAGUCGAACGAAAAGCGACGGAAGCUUGCUUCUGUCAGUCUUAGUGGCGGACGGGUGAGUAACGCGUAAUCAACCUUCCCUUCUGAGGGGAACAACAGUUGGAAACGACUGCUAAUACUGCAUACGACCUCACCUCGGCAGCGAGGAGAGAUGAAAGGUGGCCGGUACAUGUAAGCUAUCACUGAAGGAGGGGAGUGCGGCAGAUUAGCUAGUUGGCGUGGUAACGGCGCACGAAGGUGAGGAUCAGUAGUCCGACGGCGAGGAUGGACAGCCAGAUUGAGAGGGAGACAGGGCCCAGAGUGCUACGGAAGGGAGCAGGGCUGAAACGGGCGCAAGGGAUGAGAAACUGACGGAGAAACGCGGAGUGCGUGAUGACGGCCUCCGGGUUGUAGAGCUCUGUUAUUCGGGUCGAAAGGCCUUCUUGCGAAUAGUGAGAAGGAUUGACGGUACCGGAAUAGAAAGCCACGGCUAACUACGUG
RNAcentral lists this ribosomal RNA (510 nucleotides) under uncultured bacterium. Its description in RNAcentral is "partial 16S ribosomal RNA". It matches the Rfam family "Bacterial small subunit ribosomal RNA", at positions 28 to 507 of the family's 1533-position model. The record is from RNAcentral.